UGUGUCCCAUUAUUGGUGAUU
Molecule: microRNA, 21 nt
Filed under: Homo sapiens (human)
Lineage: Eukaryota; Metazoa; Chordata; Mammalia; Primates; Hominidae
Description: hsa-miR-3657
Source: miRBase by way of RNAcentral